Lupinus albus (white lupine) is the source of this 297-nucleotide non-coding RNA. The record is from the annotation of a GenBank genome assembly. NCBI's taxonomy places the organism in Eukaryota, Viridiplantae, Streptophyta, Magnoliopsida, Fabales, Fabaceae.
CGUAGCCUAGAAAGUAUUACGUGCUCUCUCCAAUCAUAUGACUUAGAUAGAGAAGGUUGAAGCUUAUAGGUGGUGCCCUAAGCGCAAAGAAGCUCCCAUCAUGCUACUUCCACUAUAUGCUUAACACAUGCGAGUCGAACACGCUCUGUAAACAAAGGUCGACCAUUCUUAUCUAAUCGAAAGGCUAAUUCGCGAUAGACGAGUGGGCGAGACGGAAAUGGGGGUCGUGGAAGAAUUGGGUUCGAGUCCCAUAGCCCCAAUGUGUCGAAAUAGAAUGAUUGGGUCGACCAGGCCCAG